UACGUAGGGGGCAAGCGUUGUCCGGAUUUAUUGGGCGUAAAGAGCUUGUAGGCGGUUUGUCGCGUCUGCUGUGAAAUUUCGGGGCUCAACCCCGAACUUGCAGUGGGUACGGGCAGACUAGAGUGUGGUAGGGGAGGCUGGAAUUCCUGGUGUAGCGGUGAAAUGCGCAGAUAUCAGGAGGAACACCGGUGGCGAAGGCGGGUCUCUGGGCCGAUACUGACGCUGAGGAGCGAAAGCGUGGGGAGCGAACAGG
This 253-nucleotide ribosomal RNA is filed under the name uncultured bacterium. RNAcentral describes it as "partial 16S ribosomal RNA". It matches the Rfam family "Bacterial small subunit ribosomal RNA", at positions 524 to 776 of the family's 1533-position model. The record is from RNAcentral.